Molecule: long non-coding RNA, 685 nt
Organism: Dreissena polymorpha
Lineage: Eukaryota; Metazoa; Mollusca; Bivalvia; Myida; Dreissenidae
Exons: 4
Source: RefSeq, a predicted model, not a curated record
UUCAUUGGUAAUAUAAUUGCUUUAUCAUUUUUUUACCAGAAACUUUUUAUGUUAUGAAAACCAGAGGAUAUCUGAUAGCUGGUUUGUUUUCUGAACCGUUCAGAUAACGUGCAUGGUGAUUGGUCAUGAAAUUAUUUCAAUGCCAUUCUCAUCCAAUCUCUAGUUGUACAGUAAUUGUCAGUUAGUGACUCAAGUAUGAUAACUUCAUCAUAUAAUAAGCUCAUACUGGUGAAUCAAGAAGCCAAGAAAAUUAUUGGUAGGUUCAUAAGUUAAUACUGGUGAAUCAAGUAGCCCAGAAAAGUAUUGGUAGGUUCAUAUGUUAAUACUGGUGAAUCAAGUAGCCCAGAAAAGUAUUGGUAGGUUCAUAAGUUAAUACUGGUGAAUCAAGUAGCCCAGAAAAGUAUUGGUAGGUUCAUAAGUUAAUACUGGUGAAUCAAGUAGCCCAGAAAAGUAUUGGUAGGUUCAUAAGUUAAUACUGGUGAAUCAAGUAGCCCAGAAAAGUAUUGGUAGGUUCAUAAGUUAAUACUGGUGAAUCAAGUAGCCCAGAAAAGUAUUGGUAGGUUCAUAAGUUAAUUCUGGUGAAUCAAGUAGCCCAAAAAAGUAUUGGUAUGUUACCUGAUUGGCAUGAUAUGAAUAAAAUAAUGUUUAAAAUAGCAAACAAAUUUCAUGAUAAGUUUUAGUGUAC